AUCCCCUCCACAUUCCCACAAACUACUUCCUUUUCUCUCUUUUUAGCAGGACUCUCCUCUCUUUAAUGAAGAGAAGUUCAGAGGGUUUUUUCCCAUGAAUAGAUGGCAGGCACCUGGGAGUUAUGAAUUUUAAAGUGAUCAUUUUCUUUCAGCCAUGCCGGACAAUGGGCAUCUCCUUUUGACUCACUUUCACAGCUUUGAGAGGCUCUCAGAUCAGCCACAUUCCAGUCGGACUGGAGUCAGAUCAGAGCUGCGCUGGACGGCAUCAAGGUCUCGCACAGAAAGACAAGAAGCAGAUGGCCGGCCCUGAGCGCUCCUCCCCCUUUCAGCGCGCAAAGGCAGGCGAUGUGGGAAAGCGCGCGGCCGGCGCUGCCUAUUGAUCCCUGAAUAGAACCACCGCAUGCCACCAGCCUGUAGCAACAGCAUGAAAAUGAAAACCAAUGACCAACAGUGAAAAAUUGGCACCCUGUUUUCCAUAUUGGCUUUUUGCUUUUAAAGAGAAGUCUGCAGCAGUGGACAAAUAUUGAAAGAAGUCACAGGCACCAUGAGGUGAGAAGUGGGAUUUGAAAGAAAAGUGAUUUCAGACUGGGAAUGCCAGCCAAGACAAAGGUUCAUUGAGGAUAUGGAGAGCAAUAGAGAUGGAGAGACAGAGAUGGAGAGAAGAAUCUCUCUUCCACCAUUUUGCUUCCCAAAUGCCCACAAGAGCUGAGACUGGGCCAGGUCAAAGCCAGGAACCAAGAACUCAAUCUAAGUCUCCCAUGUGGGUGGCAGGAGCCUAACCAACUCAGCCAUAAGCUGCUGCCUCCCAGGGUGCACAUCAGCAGAAAUCUGGAUCAAAAGUGCAGCAGAGACUUGAACCCAGGCACUCUGAUACAGGAUAUGGGCAUCUGAGUCUGUCUCUGUGCCAAACACCACUGUGCGAAACACCUGUCACUAUGGUGAUAUUUAUGCAUAAGCCUAAAACCUGAGCUUUGACUGUGUUCUUAUAUCACCCACCUUUAAAAUUUUCAAGUAAACAUGAAUGCAACACAUAAUCAAUAAAUGAGAGAUUGCUCAGAUAAAGGUGAGACAAUUACAUAAUUUUUUUAAAACUUUUGAGAAAAGCAGAUAUUGUAAAGAAAGAGAAUGAGUUUAAACACUUUAAUAACUGUAAAGUAUUGGGCAAGUACAGUAUAUUUCUUUUCUUAAUCAAUAAUUGCUUAUAUUUUACUAGGCUUUUCAUAUUUAGAUAAACUGUGUGAUUUAAAUAAGAUUAUUGGGAGCUGCUUUAAAUAUGAGUGUGAAGGACAUGUUAGAGAAUCUGAAAGGAGAAAUCACCUUUCUCUUUCUGAACUUGUCCCAGGAAGUUUAGAUUUGGAGUUUUAAAAUUUUAAAUGUUUCAUUUCUAUACUAACAUGUAUUCUCUAUUAUUUAUCUUCUGUAUUAAGAUGUCUAAGUAAUAAGGUGAAGACUGAGGUAUAGACUUAAAAUUCUGCAUACAAUGAUUCAUAUGUCUAUCAUAUUAUCCUAGGAAUUUAACUGGUAAGUGAGUGAACCAGUUGGCUACCAUGGGUGUUUCUGUUACCCAGGUGUAUUUUAGCACCUUUUCUUUUUUAAAAUUUUUUUUAAAUUUUUUUCAUUUUUAUGUAUUUGAUAGGUAGAGCUACAGACAGAGGGAGAGACAGAAGGAAAGGUCCUCCAUCUUCUGGUUCACUCCCCAGAUGACUGCAGCAACCAGAGCUGAACCAAUCUGAAACCAGAAGCCAGGAGCUUCUUCCAAGUAAUUGGGCCAUCUUCCACUGCUUUCCAAAGCCAUAAGUAGAGAGCUGGAUCAGAAGAGGAGCAGCUAGGACACAAACUGUUGUCGCAGGCAGAGGCCCAGCCCACUACAUCACAGCACUGGCCCCCUUUAGCACUUUUUCAAGUGAAAGAGAUAGAAACAGUGUUAGGGGCAUGGUGUUGUGGAAUAGGAGGUGAAGCCACUGCCUACAAUGCCAGCAUCUCAUAUGGGUACCAGUUCAUGUCUUGGCUGCUCCACUUCCUAUCCAGCUCCCUGCUAAUAGCCAGAGAAAAGCAGCAGAAGAUGACCCAAGUGUUUGUGCUCCUGCUACCUACAUGGGAAACUUGGAUGAAGUUCAUGGCUCCUGGCUUUGGGCUGGCCUGGCACUACACAUUGUGGCCAUCUGGGGAGUGAACCAGCAGAUGGAAGAUCGCUCUCCCUUUAUCUCCCUGUACGUCUGAACCUAUAACUUUCAAGGAAAAAUAAUAAAAAUUAAAAAACAGUGUUAGAGAGCAUGUGGAAAUCAUUAAUAAUAAUAGUACAUAUUUUGAUAAAGAAACUUGAUAUUAAUUUUGGGAAAGGGAAAGAGAAAAUCCUGCAAUAUGUGGAAUCCAGAACCAUGGUUAUUUGGCUAGUCUGUACAUUGCACAUUUUAGGACUAAUGGUUGUAAAAAAAAAAAAAAAUCACUUGGUUUGCAAAAUUGUCAAGGGACUGAAUGAUUUAAUCAACCUUUCCCUUUUUUAUCUGCAGUCAAUCUAAUCUUAUUAUUGCCAAACCACUCAAGUGAUGGCUCCUGAUUGAACAGAAUCUCCCACUGGGAACAUGUGAGUAGCCUUCCCUCCAGGAACGUGGAUACCCACAGACCUUGUAAUGUUCUUUUGUCACCUUCAAUCUCUAUAGGUAGAAAGUUAAAAGCCAUUUUAAACCUUAUCUUAUUAUCCUUCCACUUUUGAACUAAAAGUUGAUUAUCCUUAAUUUACAAGAGGGCACUGUAUUGAGAGGUAAGCUGAUUUCUCUAAUGUCACGUACAAAAUACUCUGUGCUAAGCUAAGAGUAGAAUUCAAACCUGCAGAUCAUGAUUCAACCUCUGCUUCUCCACUUACUUAACAUAAUAGUACAAACAGAAGUCUCUCCACCCUGGAGAAAUAUCAAGAUAUUAUUGAUAAACAAUAAUCUUUUUAUGUGCACUUAAAAUCCUAUUCCUUAAAUCAACAGUGGCUGAUUUUGAAAGAGAAGUAAAUCCAGGCAUUCGAAUAUAGCAGUGGUUUUAUUCUAUUUAUUUACUUGGUUUUUUUAGUUAGAAAGCUGCUCUGUUUAAUAGGACCCCAAAUGAAUGAGUACAUUCCUGAAAGAGACAAACUAAGGUAACCCUGAUUGUGGUGUUGACUUUGCUAAAGGCAACAGCCCAAAGUAUGAGUAAUAAAAGCCAAUUUGAAAUGAAUUUAAUUUCAAGAUAUCCACAAACCCAUAAAAUCAGAUACAUGCCAAAUAAACAGCUACAGAUGCAUUAAAAAAAAAUGGUUUCCUAAGUGAAAAGACAAGAGAAGGAGAGUAUCAGAGAAAGAAAAGGAAAUAGGGUGAGAGAGUGAGAAAAGAGAAAGUGCACAGUGUGAUAAUAAGAAGCUUGUCUUUUGAGCCCAGUCCACUUUCAAAGGCAGGAUUAGUUCUUAGGGAAGUUUCAAGUUACUGAUGCAUCAUUCUGUUUCUCCCAAGAAUGGAGCCCAACUGCACAGCAACAAUUUGCAAAUGCUUCUCUGGGAAAAUAUUAAUUAUGUACGCGUUUCUGAAAACAGAUCCAAGCUCCCAUUGAAUACUAUCUUUUUUUUUUUUUAAUAAAGAUCUAUUUACUUAUUUGAAAGACAGUCCAACAGAGAGAUGGAGGAAGAGAUAGAGAGAAAGAGAUCUUUCAUCAACUGGUUCACCUAUCAAAUGGCCUCAAGAGGCAGGAGUGGGCCAAGCCAAAGUCAGGAACCAGGAGCUCCUUCUUGGUCUACCACAUGGGUGGCAGGGGCCUGCUUGGGCCAUCUUCCACUGCCUUCCCAGAUGCAUUAGCAAGGAGCUGGGUUAGAACUUGCACAGGAGGGAAUUGAACCAGCACUCUAACAUGUAGCACCAGCACUGCAAGUUUCACUUAACCUGCUGGGGCCACAGUACUGGCCCCUACUCCUAUUUAAUUUGCAGAAAUUAGACAACUGUUUCCUGCAGUGAAGUAAUCUCCAUGCUUUACACUGAUGAAAACUUCGACUAUUACUCAUAACCUUUAGAUAUAGGUUUUUAGAUCAUCAAGCGCUGGUUUUAGGAGAAGUGAUAAAUAUAUCUAAAUGGAAGUUCAGUUUUUAAUUUUUAAAUAUGAAUUGGAAAGAUGUAGAAAUAUCUUAUUAUUUUAAGCAGUUGAGAAGUGAGAAAGCCAUUUAUCCAGACAUGGAAAAGAUGAUGUCAUCUACAGUAAAUUCCAAGUAUAAGAGUUCUAAGUAUAAGAGUUCUAAGUAUAAGAACUAGUGGGUAGGCACAAGAUAGAACAAAGGACAUGAAGAUGAAAGGCUCCUUUCUCUACUUAGCCCCUUCUCUCUUUGCAGAAUAUGUACUUGCAACCAAGGGAAUGGCCCAGAACUGAAAAUUGAAAUUGCCUCAAGAAAAAACUAAGACUAUAUAUAGAAAUCUAUUCUUAUUUUAUUAAGAUUUAUUUAUAUUUUUUGAAUGUCAGAGUUACAGAGAGAGAAGGAGAGAUAGAGAGUGAGAGAGCAAAAGAGAGAAAGAGUGAGAGAGAGAAAUAUCUUCCAUCCACUGGUUCACUCUCCAAUGGCUGCAACAGCCAGGGCUGAGCCAGACUGAAGGCAGGAGCUAGGAGUUUCAUCUGGGUCUCUCAUCUAAGUGCAGAGGCCCAAGGACUUGGGCCAUUUUCUACUGCUUUCCCAAGUGUAUUAGCAGGGAGCUUGAUCAAAAGUGGAGCAGCAGAGACAUGAACCAGUGCCCAUAUGGGAUGCCAGCACCACAGACAGCGGCUUAAUACACUACACCAGAAGCACCAGCCCCCAGGAACUUAUCCUUGAAAGAUACUUUAGAAAUCAUCUAAUCCUAGCUCAAACUGCAUGCAGUAAAUCCCGAUAUACCCCCUUGACAGUGAUGUUUGUUACCUCUUACCAGCUCACUUGUAGUUGAGGCAGACAAGACUAUUAUUGACACAGACUAAAUCUAAGUUCUUGUAAAUCCUAAUUCUGCUAUCCUGUGCAACACAGGAUAUAACAUUUUGGCCUCGUUAUCUAUAAGCAACAAGCAUGGAGAUAAGACCUGGGUCAGACAAAUGGGGAUUCAUGUCCAGGACUGACUGACAUGGAGAGCCCUGACAAGUCAAUGACUCAACCUCUGCAAGCUUCAGUUUGCUUACCUGUAAAAUGGGAUAUGUUUUCCACUACAUUGUCUUUUUGUUAGAGUUAAAGAAAUGAUGUACUUCAAACAAUGCCUCAUAUAUAAUAAAUGCUUGAAAACAUUAGUUAUCAUAAUGAUAUACAAACACAGAUUUAGGAGUCAGAUGGUCCUGAAUUCAAAUCCAACUCCACCUGUUAAUAACUGAACUUGAAAUUAAUUAAUUUCUCUGGGUUUCUAUUUUUGCAUCUUUGACAAAUCUGCUUUAUAGCAGUUCUGAAAUUAUUUAGUGAAAAAAAUGUUAAAGUGCUUGGUAUAAUGUCUGGCCCUAAUUUUUCAUCGUCAUUGUCAUCACUGUACACUUAAUCAAUGCCCUUCUUAAAAUACGAAGCUGGAAAAUAAUAAGACAUUCCCAAAGUAGUCAGAAUCAGCCCAAAGACUGUCUAUGUUGACCUAAACAUGACAUGUUUAUUAAUGUAGUCUAAUAUUGUAUUUACCUUUCUUGUCAGUCCCUUAGAAAUACAAGUGUGAAAUAAAAAAUGAAUCCACUGGUUCUGUCCCACUCAUUUAGAAUAAUUCAAUAAUGGCAAUGAACAAAUAAGAACAUCAACAGUAAAACAUUCAACAGUGAAGGAGAGUGUUAUGACAAUUCUCUUUCUGGAAAGAAGUACUUAUACUUAAUUCAUUUAUCCAUGCAAUUGAUUUCUCUAAAAAUACUUGCCGGGGCCAGCACUUAAGCUUAGCAGGUAAAGCUGCCGCCUGCGGUGCUGGCAUCCCAUAUGGGCACAGGUGGGAGUCUUGGCUUCUCCUCCCUCUUCUGAUCCAGCUCUCUGCUAUGGUCUGGGAAAGCAGCAGAAGAUGGCCAGGGACUUGAACUCCUGCACCUAUGUGAGAGACCCAGAAGAAACUCCAGGCUCCUGGCUUCAGAUUGGCCCAGCUCCGGCCAUUGUGGCCAUUUGGGGAGUGAACCAACAGAUAAAGACCUCUCUCUCUCUCUCUCUCUCUCUCUCUCUCUCUGCUUCUGCUUCUCUGUAACUCUACUUCUCAAAUAAAUAAAUAAAUAUUUUUUAAAAAGAAGAAAAAGCUUGCCAAGAACCUUUCAGACUGUAUCACACACAACCUUGCUUUUCAGGGUUGCGUAAUUUAAAGGCAUUUGUAAUAUCAUGACUUGCUUAAGUAAAUCCUAUUUCUCUUAGAUAGUCUUAAAAUAGACUGUGUGAUUUGUUCUACAUAAUUAUGCAUAUUUCCCAGAGUGGCGGAAUUAUCUAUAUCUUCAAAAUCCAUAUUUCAAAUACAAAGGGCAAACCACCUCCCUUCAAAAUGGCAACAUAUAUAGGGAGAGUACACUCCAAUUCAGACCUAGCUGACUCAUGUAUAAAUCAUUUGGACUUUUUGCUCAUUUACAAAAUAGAGGAAUAGAAGUGGUCAAAAAAGUCCUUUCUAUCUCUCUUAUUUUAAGCUUUCAUAAUUACAUUUUUCUAUCAUUAAAAAUUUUCCUGUAGUGGCACAGGCACUGUGUCACAGUGGGUAAGGCUACCAUUUGGAAUACCAGCAUCCCAUGUCACAGUGCUUGGGAUUGAGUCCCAUCUCCACUUCUAAUCCAGCUCCCUGCCAAUGUGCUGCCUGGGAGGCAGCAAAUGAUGACCUGAGUUCUUGGGCCUCUGCCACCUACAUGGGUGACCCAGAUGGAGUUCCUGGCUCCCACCUUUUAACUGUCCCAGCUCCAGCUGUUGUUAGCAUUUGGGAAGGGAACCACUGGAUGGUUCUCUCUGUUCCUCUCACUCUCCUCCCUCUAUGUCUCUCUCCCUUUGUCUCUUCGCCUUUAAAAUAAAUAAAUAAAUCCUUAAUAAAGAAAAAGAAUUUCCUAUAGCACGCAUUGUCCAAGUCUCUGUAUGUCCCAAGAUAAUAGUCCUUGAUCAGUCAUUGAGGAAACCCUCAAAAGCUGAUUUCUUUUCAACUUUCAAACUUGCCAGUGAUUGGCUUAGCAAUGGGCAAAUGACUGCAAGUCUAGCCAGUCAUAAAAGAUAUAUUACAUUAGGUGAAAUCUAAGCAGUUUCUGGAAAUUAUUUCUUUGUUCCUAAAAUGGCCUAUGUGGAAGGAAGCUUGUUUUUUCCUACCCUUUAUUCAGCUGUGUGAAGUGUCGCUCAGAGUUUCUGCAGCCAUUAUGCAACCACAGGAUGACAAGCCUAUAUACAAAACUGAACACACUAAGCAGAACAAAGCACAAAAGUUGAAAACACCAAGGCUCUUCUAUUCAUUCCUGAGAUGCUGAGUGGCUGGUUAACUGGUCUACUUACUCUCAGAGAUUAAAAAUAGUCCUUUUGGGCUGGCACUGUGGCGUAGGAGGUAAAGCUGCCACCUCUGGUGCUAUCAUCUCAUAUGGGCAACUGGUUAAAUCCCAGCUGCUCCACUUCAGAUUCAGCUCCCUAUUAUUGCCCCUAAGAAAGCAGUGGAAAACGGCCCAAGUGUUUGGGCCCCUGCUCCCAUGUGGGAGACCUGGAAGAAGCUCCUGGCUCCUGGCUUUGGAUGGGCCCAGCUCAGGCCGUUGUGGCCAUUUGGGGAGUGAUUCAGCAGAUGGAAGAUUCUCUCUCUCUCCCACUCUCUAAUUCUGCCUUUCAAAUAAAUAAAUAAAUCUUUAAAAAACUUAGUCCUUUUAAAAGCAGUUCUUUUUGUAAACCAUAAAGUGCAUACAAGUAACCUGUGUGUCUGCUUAGAAUAAAGAUUCUGCAUCUGGGGCCAGAGCUGAGGCGAUUCUGACAGACUUUCAGGUUAUGAGCCUGCUGCCUGUACUUGAGUAUUGAAAUGAAUGGAAUUGGCUUUCAUCACUUGAGGUAAACUUCAGUUGCUAGUAGCUGAAGUCAUCCUAAAUGAUAUAAUCCUCCAACUUACACUUUAUCAUCACCUCUUACCUAUGUGGAUGAAAGCCAUUUGGGCACCUAAGA
Molecule: long non-coding RNA, 8065 nt
Organism: Oryctolagus cuniculus (rabbit)
Lineage: Eukaryota; Metazoa; Chordata; Mammalia; Lagomorpha; Leporidae
Source: RefSeq, a predicted model, not a curated record